AUACAGAGGGUGCGAGCGUUAAUCGGAAUUACUGGGCGUAAAGCGUACGUAGGCGGUUCGUUAAGUUAGAUGUGAAAGCCCCGGGCUUAACCUGGGAACUGCAUUUAAAACUGGCGAACUAGAGUUGAGUAGAGGGGAGUGGAAUUUCAGGUGUAGCGGUGAAAUGCGUAGAGAUCUGAAGGAACACCAGUGGCGAAGGCGGCUCCCUGGACUCAAACUGACGCUGAGGUACGAAAGCGUGGGUAGCAAACGGGAUUAGAUACCCUAGUAGUCC
Molecule: ribosomal RNA, 274 nt
Filed under: uncultured bacterium
Lineage: Bacteria
Description: partial 16S ribosomal RNA
Rfam family: Bacterial small subunit ribosomal RNA
Source: RNAcentral